RNAcentral lists this unclassified non-coding RNA (330 nucleotides) under uncultured fungus. Its description in RNAcentral is "sequence contains ITS1". The stretch from base 1 to 105 matches the Rfam family "5.8S ribosomal RNA", at positions 50 to 154 of the family's 154-position model. The record is from RNAcentral. Lineage: Eukaryota; Fungi.
GAAAUGCGAUACGCAAUGCGAAUUGCAGAAUUCCGCGAAUCAUCAGAUUCUUGAACGCAACUGGCGCUGGAGGGAUAUCCUUUCAGCAUGUCUGUUUCAGUGUCUGAUAACAUCACAAUAAACAUAAUGUGUUUGACAAGGAUGGAUCAAUCAGAUCAUCCACGUCUUACAUGAAAGAUGUAUGUGUGGGUCUUUGGGUCCAUCGAAUUGGUCACUGAUAUCUCAGUGAUUUCGAUUGGAAUAUCCAAUUACCUGUAUGCACAUAGAAUUCAUAUAAUUAUUCUCUAAAAUCUGCAUCUGAAAUCAGGCAAGAACACCCGCUGAACUUAA